Molecule: ribosomal RNA, 397 nt
Filed under: uncultured bacterium
Lineage: Bacteria
Description: partial 16S ribosomal RNA
Rfam family: Bacterial small subunit ribosomal RNA
Source: RNAcentral
AUACGUAGGUGGCAAGCGUUGUCCGGAAUUACUGGGUGUAAAGGGCGUGUAGGCGGGAAUGUAAGUCAGAUGUGAAAUCCCAGGGCUUAACCCUGGAGCUGCAUCUGAAACUAUGUUUCUUGAGUGCCGGAGAGGAAAGCGGAAUUCCUAGUGUAGCGGUGAAAUGCGUAGAUAUUAGGAGGAACACCAGUGGCGAAGGCGGCUUUCUGGACGGUAACUGACGCUGAGGCGCGAAAGCGUGGGGAGCAAACAGGAUUAGAUACCCUGGUAGUCCACGCUGUAAACGAUGGAUACUAGGUGUAGGAGGUAUCGACCCCUUCUGUGCCGGAGUUAACACAAUAAGUAUCCCACCUGGGGAGUACGGCCGCAAGGUUGAAACUCAAAUGAAUUGACGGGG